This 810-nucleotide ribosomal RNA is filed under the name Salmonella enterica subsp. enterica serovar Saintpaul. RNAcentral describes it as "partial 23S ribosomal RNA". It matches the Rfam family "Bacterial large subunit ribosomal RNA", at positions 691 to 1503 of the family's 2925-position model. The record is from RNAcentral. Lineage: Bacteria; Pseudomonadati; Pseudomonadota; Gammaproteobacteria; Enterobacterales; Enterobacteriaceae.
GGCGUUAAGUUGCAGGGUAUAGACCCGAAACCCGGUGAUCUAGCCAUGGGCAGGUUGAAGGUUGGGUAACACUAACUGGAGGACCGAACCGACUAAUGUUGAAAAAUUAGCGGAUGACCUGUGGCUGGGGGUGAAAGGCCAAUCAAACCGGGAGAUAGCUGGUUCUCCCCGAAAGCUAUUUAGGUAGCGCCUCGUGAAUUCAUCUCCGGGGGUAGAGCACUGUUUCGGCUAGGGGGCCAUCCCGGCUUACCAACCCGAUGCAAACUGCGAAUACCGGAGAAUGUUAUCACGGGAGACACACGGCGGGUGCUAACGUCCGUCGUGAAGAGGGAAACAACCCAGACCGCCAGCUAAGGUCCCAAAGUCAUGGUUAAGUGGGAAACGAUGUGGGAAGGCCCAGACAGCCAGGAUGUUGGCUUAGAAGCAGCCAUCAUUUAAAGAAAGCGUAAUAGCUCACUGGUCGAGUCGGCCUGCGCGGAAGAUGUAACGGGGCUAAACCAUGCACCGAAGCUGCGGCAGCGACACUGUGUGUUGUUGGGUAGGGGAGCGUUCUGUAAGCCUGUGAAGGUGGCCUGUGAGGGUUGCUGGAGGUAUCAGAAGUGCGAAUGCUGACAUAAGUAACGAUAAAGCGGGUGAAAAGCCCGCUCGCCGGAAGACCAAGGGUUCCUGUCCAACGUUAAUCGGGGCAGGGUGAGUCGACCCCUAAGGCGAGGCCGAAAGGCGUAGUCGAUGGGAAACGGGUUAAUAUUCCCGUACUUGGUGUUACUGCGAAGGGGGGACGGAGAAGGCUAUGUUGGCCGGGCGACGGUU